RNAcentral lists this ribosomal RNA (571 nucleotides) under uncultured Bacillus sp. RNAcentral describes it as "bacterial SSU rRNA". It matches the Rfam family "Bacterial small subunit ribosomal RNA", at positions 415 to 976 of the family's 1533-position model. The record is from RNAcentral. Lineage: Bacteria; Bacillati; Bacillota; Bacilli; Caryophanales; Bacillaceae.
UCUUCGGAUCGUAAAGCUCUGUUGUUAGGGAAGAACAAGUAUCGUUCGAAUAGGGCGGUACCUUGACGGUACCUAACCAGAAAGCCACGGCUAACUACGUGCCAGCAGCCGCGGUAAUACGUAGGUGGCAAGCGUUAUCCGGAAUUAUUGGGCGUAAAGCGCGCGCAGGCGGUCCUUUAAGUCUGAUGUGAAAGCCCACGGCUCAACCGUGGAGGGUCAUUGGAAACUGGGGGACUUGAGUGCAGAAGAGGAGAGCGGAAUUCCACGUGUAGCGGUGAAAUGCGUAGAGAUGUGGAGGAACACCAGUGGCGAAGGCGGCUCUCUGGUCUGUUACUGACGCUGAGGCGCGAAAGCGUGGGGAGCGAACAGGAUUANAUACCCUGGUAGUCCACGCCGUAAACGAUGAGUGCUAAGUGUUAGAGGGUUUCCGCCCUUUAGUGCUGCAGCAAACGCAUUAAGCACUCCGCCUGGGGAGUACGGUCGCAAGACUGAAACUCAAAGGAAUUGACGGGGGCCCGCACAAGCGGUGGAGCAUGUGGUUUAAUUCNAAGCAACGCGAAAAACCUUACCA